This 564-nucleotide ribosomal RNA is filed under the name Staphylococcus arlettae. RNAcentral describes it as "partial 23S ribosomal RNA". It matches the Rfam family "Bacterial large subunit ribosomal RNA", at positions 1570 to 2136 of the family's 2925-position model. The record is from RNAcentral. Lineage: Bacteria; Bacillati; Bacillota; Bacilli; Caryophanales; Staphylococcaceae.
AGAGGAAUUUAUUCCUCGAGUCGUUGAUUUCACACUGCCAAGAAAAUCCUCUAGCUAGAAUUAUGGUGCCCGUACCGCAAACCGACACAGGUAGUCAAGAUGAGAAUUCUAAGGUGAGCGAGCGAACUCUCGUUAAGGAACUCGGCAAAAUGACCCCGUAACUUCGGGAGAAGGGGUGCUUUCUAGGGUUCACGCCCAGGAAAGCCGCAGUGAAUAGGCCCAAGCGACUGUUUAUCAAAAACACAGGUCUCUGCUAAACCGUAAGGUGAUGUAUAGGGGCUGACGCCUGCCCGGUGCUGGAAGGUUAAGAGGAGUGGUUAGCUUCUGCGAAGCUACGAAUCGAAGCCCCAGUAAACGGCGGCCGUAACUAUAACGGUCCUAAGGUAGCGAAAUUCCUUGUCGGGUAAGUUCCGACCCGCACGAAAGGCGUAACGAUUUGGGCACUGUCUCAACGAGAGACUCGGUGAAAUCAUAGUACCUGUGAAGAUGCAGGUUACCCGCGACAGGACGGAAAGACCCCGUGGAGCUUUACUGUAGUCUGAUAUUGAAAUUCGGCACAGCUUG